Molecule: ribosomal RNA, 253 nt
Filed under: uncultured bacterium
Lineage: Bacteria
Description: partial 16S ribosomal RNA
Rfam family: Bacterial small subunit ribosomal RNA
Source: RNAcentral
UACGGAGGGUGCAAGCGUUGUCCGGAAUCACUGGGCGUAAAGGGCGCGUAGGCGGCGCAUCAAGUCAGGCGUGAAAGCCCUCGGCUCAACCAAGGAAGUGCUUUCGAAACUGCUGAGCUUGAGUACUUAAGAGGAUCGCGGAAUUCCCGGUGUAGAGGUGAAAUUCGUAGAUAUCGGGAGGAACACCAGUGGCGAAGGCGGCGAUCUGGGAAGAUACUGACGCUGAGGUGCGAAAGCGUGGGGAGCAAACAGG